RNAcentral lists this ribosomal RNA (252 nucleotides) under uncultured bacterium. RNAcentral's name for it is "partial 16S ribosomal RNA". It matches the Rfam family "Bacterial small subunit ribosomal RNA", at positions 524 to 775 of the family's 1533-position model. The record is from RNAcentral.
UACGAAGGGGGCUAGCGUUGCUCGGAAUCACUGGGCGUAAAGCGCACGUAGGCGGAUCUUUAAGUCAGGGGUGAAAUCCUGGAGCUCAACUCCAGAACUGCCCUUGAUACUGGGGAUCUUGAGUCCGGAAGAGGUGAGUGGAACUCCGAGUGUAGAGGUGAAAUUCGUAGAUAUUCGCAGGAACACCAGUGGCGAAGGCGGCUCACUGGUCCGAUACUGACGCUGAGGUGCGAAAGCGUGGGGAGCAACAGG